UAUUUGAGAGUUUGAUCCUGGCUCAGGAUGAACGCUGGCGGCGUGCCUAACACAUGCAAGUCGAGCGAACCCUUCGGGGUGAGCGGCGGACGGGUGAGUAACGCGUGGGUAACCUGCCCUGUACACACGGAUAACAUACCGAAAGGUAUGCUAAUACGGGAUAACAUAUGAGAGUCGCAUGGCUUU
RNAcentral lists this ribosomal RNA (186 nucleotides) under Paraclostridium sordellii. RNAcentral's name for it is "partial 16S ribosomal RNA". It matches the Rfam family "Bacterial small subunit ribosomal RNA", at positions 1 to 197 of the family's 1533-position model. The record is from RNAcentral. Lineage: Bacteria; Bacillati; Bacillota; Clostridia; Peptostreptococcales; Peptostreptococcaceae.